This 261-nucleotide ribosomal RNA is filed under the name uncultured bacterium. RNAcentral's name for it is "partial 16S ribosomal RNA". It matches the Rfam family "Bacterial small subunit ribosomal RNA", at positions 1240 to 1500 of the family's 1533-position model. The record is from RNAcentral.
CAGAGAGAAACGAAGUAGUGAUGCAGAGUAAAACUCAAAAAACGGUACUCAGUUCGGAUUGAAGGCUGAAAUUCGCCUUCAUGAAGCUGGAAUUGCUAGUAAUGGCAGGUCAGCAUACUGCCGUGAAUACGUUCCCGGGCCUUGUACACACCGCCCGUCACACCAUGAGAGUCGGGAACACCCGAAGUCCGUAGCCUAACCGCAAGGGGGGCGCGGCCGAAGGUGGGUUCGAUAAUUGGGGUGAAGUCGUAACAAGGUACC